UCGAGCGNNGUUGUUUAGAAGCUUGCUUCUAAACNACCUAGCGGCGGACGGGUGAGUAACACGUAGGCAACCUGCCCACAAGACUGGGAUAACUACCGGAAACGGUAGCUAAUACCCGAUACAUCCUUUUNCUGCAUGGGANAAGGAGGAAAGACGGAGNAAUCUGUCACUUGUGGAUGGGCCUGCGGCGCAUUAGCUAGUUGGUGGGGUAAAGGCCUACCAAGGCGACGAUGCGUAGCCGACCUGAGAGGGUGAUCGGCCACACUGGGACUGAGACACGGCCCAGACUCCUACGGGAGGCAGCAGUAGGGAAUCUUCCGCAAUGGGCGAAAGCCUGACGGAGCAACGCCGCGUGAGUGAUGAAGGUUUUCGGAUCGUAAAGCUCUGUUGCCAGGGAAGAACGUCUUGUAGAGUAACUGCUACAAGAGUGACGGUACCUGAGAAGAAAGCCCCGGCUAACUACGUGCCAGCAGCCGCGGUAAUACGUAGGGGGCAAGCGUUGUCCGGAAUUAUUGGGCGUAAAGCGCGCGCAGGCGGCUCUUUAAGUCUGGUGUUUAAUCCCGAGGCUCAACUUCNGGUCNCNCUGGANACUGGGGAGCNUGAGUNNNGAAGAGGAGAGUG
Molecule: ribosomal RNA, 621 nt
Filed under: Paenibacillus sp. Ma31
Lineage: Bacteria; Bacillati; Bacillota; Bacilli; Caryophanales; Paenibacillaceae
Description: partial 16S ribosomal RNA
Rfam family: Bacterial small subunit ribosomal RNA
Source: RNAcentral